UUCCGGUUGAUCCUGCCGGAGGUUACUGCUAUUGGAAUCCGAUUAAGCCAUGCGAGUCGAUCGGGUUUAGACCCGAGGCACACUGCUCAGUAACGCGUGGAGAAUCUGCCCUUAGGUGAGAGAUAACCUCGGGAAACUGAGAAUAAUAUCUCAUAGGUUAUGAAUGCUGGAACGCUUCAUAGCUAAAAGCCCUGGCGCCUAAGGAUGACUCUGCGGACUAUCAGGUAGUAGUCAGGGUAAUAACCUGACUAGCCUACGACGGAUACGGGGUGUGAGAGCACUAGCCCGGAGAUGGAUUCUGAGACACGAAUCCAGACCCUAAGGGGUGCAGCAGGCGCGAAACUUCCGCAAUGCUCGCAAGAGUGACGGAGGGAUUCCAAGUGCCUAUGCAAUGCGUAGGCUGUUCUCAUGUCUAAAUAACAUGGGGAGUAAGAGCUGGGUAAGACGGGUGCCAGCCGCCGCGGUAAUACCUGCGGCUCGAGUGGUAACCACUAUUAUUGGGCCUAAAGCGUCCGUAGCCGGUUUAGUAAAUAUCUGGGUAAAUCGUGAGGCUUAACUUCACGAAUUUCGGAUAGACUGCUAGACUUGGGACCGGGGGAGGUCAGAGGUACUCCAGGGGUAGCGGUGAAAUGUUGUAAUCCUUGGAGGACCACCGGUAGCGAAGGCGUCUGACUAGAACGGGUCCGACCGCUGAGGGACGAAGCCCUGGGGCGCAAACCGGAUUAUAUAUCCCGGGUAGUCCAGGCGUAAACGCUGCUUGCUUGAUGUUAGUUGGGCUCCGAGCCCAAUUAGUGUAGAGAGCAGUUGUUAGCAAGCUGCCUGGCAGUACGGUCGCAGACUGAACUUAAGGAUUGGCGGGGGAGCACUGCAUCGGUGGAGCGUGCAGUUUAUGAUCACGCCGGU
RNAcentral lists this ribosomal RNA (903 nucleotides) under uncultured archaeon. RNAcentral describes it as "bacterial SSU rRNA". It matches the Rfam family "Archaeal small subunit ribosomal RNA", at positions 1 to 919 of the family's 1478-position model. The record is from RNAcentral.